GUGUUUGAAGAGAUUUCUGAUUUUUUUUUCUGCUGAUUUAUUUUUAUUAUGGUGUUUUUUGUGAUUUUAUAAUUUUUUUUUUUUUGAGUGGUUUUUCCUGCCUAUUUAAAUGCAUUAGAAAUUUGUCAAAAGAAAAGAAAAGAAAAAAAGAAAAAAAAAACAUAAAGCAUUAAAAGAAACAAAUUUUGUUUGACUUUUUUUUUUUCAUUUUUCUUUAAUUUACAAAAUUUUUCUUUUCAAUCCGGAAUAUAAAACAGUGGAAUGCUAUUUUUCAACAGUGAUACACAGAGAACAGUUGUAAACUGGAUUUAUUGUGUUCUUAAAGGGUAAUGGCGGCCUCCACUCAAGGAGAAAUAAGAGUGGGUCCCGGCCACCAGGUAAACGAUGUCUAUGCAAAACUGCCCGAUUAUAAUCCAAUUUCAAGUUUUCCUGUUGACAAAGAAUCUGAAAGAGAAUUGGAAGUAUCUCGAUGGAGUCCUGGUAUUGUUUUAGAUGGGGAUCUGUUAAUGUAUUUAAGAGCAGCGAGAUCUAUGGCAGCAUUUCAAGGAAUGUGUGAUGGAGGACUUGAAGAUGGUUGUUUAGCCGCAAGUCGUGACGAUACUACUAUAAACGCCCUUGAUGUUUUACAUGAUUCCGGUUAUGAUCCCGGUAAAGCUUUGCAAACUUUAGUUAAAUGCCCAGUAGCAAAAGGAAUUGAUAAAAAGUGGACAGAAGAUGAAACAAAAAAAUUUAUAAAAGGUUUACGUCAAUUUGGAAAGAAUUUUUUUAGAAUACAUAAAGAUUUAUUACCGCAUAAAGAAACACCAGAAUUAGUUGAAUUUUAUUAUUUGUGGAAGAAAACUCCCGGAGCUAAUAAUAAUCGUCCGCAUAGACGCCGACGACAAGGCUCUUUACGUCGUAAUCGUGCUGUGACACGUUCUAGUAAUACACCUCCAAAGAAAGAAGAAGACACAAUUGAAGCCCAAACAGAAUCAAAACCUUCACCGAUAUCCAAAGAAGAGAACAGUUCGUUAACUGAAGACGAAGCUAGCGAAUGUGAUAGUGAUUCAAGUCUUACCAAAAGGGAUGAAUCGCCAUCAAGAAUGAGGACAAGGAACAAACAAGGAACAAAGGAACAAGUGGCCAAUGGUAAGAGACCAAAACGAGGUACUGAAACUCCAGAAGGCGAUAAUCCAAAAACACCAACAAAAAAUGACAACAAAAGAAAACAGGGUACUGGAAAAUCCGAUACACCAAGCAAAAAGAAACGAUCCGACAUUGAUGGCGCUGAGGUAACAGAUGAUAAAGAUAAACGCAAACGAGCAGAUAGCCCAACGGAAAGUUUGAAUUCGGACAGCAGACCAGACUCUGUUAUUGACGAAGGUGAAAAUACAAAUGAUGCACCUGAUCAAGCACCUUUAGUUAGUAAUUUGAAAGAAAAUAGCAAUAAUAGUAUUAGCAACGAAGAUAAAAAUACAGUUGGAACUACUGUCAACAGUGCUGUUAAUGAAAAUGCAAAUUCAAAUCCGGAUAAAGGAGUUACUUCUAAUACAGAAAAUCCCAUAUCUAAUACACUUAAUACACAUGAAGAAGAUGCAAAUCAUCCUCUUAGUGUAAGACAACCCAGUACGAAACCUAUAGAACAAAAAGGUACUGAACAAAUGCCAGCUCAAAACACAACAGUAACUGAAAAUAGUACAACCGCAAUUAGUAAAACAAAUGUAACAAAAGAAAAUAUUGAAGAAGGUUCAAAUACAAAUAAUUUUGUUUCUAAGGAUGUACAACAACAAGAAAUAUUAGCAAAAAUUGCCAAUAUAAAACAAGAAAAUAUACCACAACUGACAACAGUUUCAGGUGCUUCUACAUCAACUGCACCUUCUUUGAACACACCUUCUUCGGGUGAUUCUAAUAUAAAUAUAAGCACAACGAAUGUUUAUAUUAAAAAGGAACCAAACGAUGAUGCACCUUUAGAUGCAUCAUGUAACCAAAAUAGUAAUGAACCUCAAGAUUUAAAAGUAAAAAUGGAAAUUAAACAAGAGGAUACCAAACCAAAUAUUAAUCCUUUGCAGCUUCCAAUAGGAUCUCAAACACAAAAUCAGCAACAAUCGAUCACAGCCAUUGAUAAUAGUGUACCUCUUUCUUCGAAUAUUAACCAAGCUUCAACUGUGGAAGCUCAACCAAAAAUUGAGAACACCAACUUCGAAUGUCAAAAAUUAGGUAGUGAAGUGAAAUAUCCAAAUAGUGAAGCAGACAUAAAAUUCAGCGAACAAAUUAAGUUACAACAAGAUGGAAAUCAUCAAAUGAAGUAUAGUACUCAAUCGCAAGAUAUAAAAUAUCAGUUGCCACAUUCAAUGGAAUCUUUGAAAUAUCCUCCAAUAUCAUCAGCAGAUAUUUCGGCUGGUGCUAAAUUUGAUGUAAAAUACAAUAUCGACACAGGGAAAUAUUCGAACGAGCCUCCAACAAGCAAGGGAUAUUCAGAUCCAAUAAAAAUUCCUGAUAUUAAAGCAUAUCAUAAUGAACUCGCUGCUGGAAAAUAUCCACCCAUUUCUAUAGCUGGUGGGCACAUUAGUGACGCUCAAGUUCAAAGUUUAAAAUACCCGCAUAAUAUGCCGCCAACUUUAAUAUCUGGCCCGGACGCUCAUAAAUUUAUGUCUGAUCCCAAUAAUGCAUUGAUUGGAAAAAAUCAUUAUUCUCAAAGUACGCCAAUCUCACAUGUUGAAAGUCAAAAUAUUGGACCUAAUCAUCCAUUAGCAAGAUCACCUUACGAUUCAAGUAUAAUGGUUAAAUAUGGAGAUCCUAUGACAAAAUAUGGAAUUCCUCCCAUGGGACCUGGUCAACAUCAACCACAAGAUUUAAAAUAUCCCCCGCCGCUUCCACCUGGACCGCCAACUUCGCAAUCCAACGAACAGUCAUUUAAAUCGUAUCCUGGCGAAAAUUUAAUAAAAAAUUCGCCUUAUGGAAAUCCUCCAAAUUCAGGUAAUAGUGGGGAGCCUCCACCAAACAGCAAGUAUCCUCCUUCUGAAAGUCCUUUAGACGCUUCUUCUUCAGCAAGAACAACACCAAAUCAGGAUAGUCAGGGAAGUAGUAGUAAUUCGCAAUUCCCAAGCUCUCAACAUCCUUCACCGUUGUUGCCUAAUGUUAGCAACGCAAAUCAUCCAGGAAUGCAACACUUAAUUAGCAGCCACCCAGGUUUACCACCUAAUUCUCUUCCCUCACAUCACUCAAUGGUGUCUUCUGCAAAUCCGUCACCGGUUUCUACCCCGAAUUCAAUGACGCAAACAUCGGCAGGAUCAAUGCUUUUGCCUCCCCCAACAAUGUCUUCAGUAGCUUCUUCAGGGUUACAUUCACAAUUAGGAGGACCACAUGGAUUAUCAAGUAGUCAAAUUCCUACAUUGCACAAACCACAUCCAGAAAUGCCAGUUGGGCUGUCGUCUAAUUCAAUUUUACACCAUCCCGGUUUGACUUUAAGCUCGGGAGGUCCGGGAUCGCAUUCGAAUUUGCCAUUAAGUCACUCUGCUUCAAUGAAUAGUCAUCAGGUGGCAUCAGUCCAAAAUCGGUCUCCGUCACCUGCACAAGGACCACCACAAAGAUCCGGAUCCGAAAAUAUGUCAGGAAAUCAAAGUUCAAUGCGCGAUUCCAGAGAUAUUGUCCAAUCACAACAUCCUCAGCCACAUUCUGUUCCGAACACAACUGCAGGAUCAAUUCAGCCUUCAAAUACUCCAUUAAUGUCACAUGCACAUAGAUCUUCUCCUUUAACAGGAUUAGGUCCGCCACCACAUUCAGCUGCGUUGUUGGGCCACCCAGGAGGACCAGUUGGUGUUGGAAUACCACUUUCGCACCCAGCUCAUCCAGCACAUUUAUUACCACAUACAAUGAGUGGUAUACCACCCCACGCAAGUCAUCCAGCUCACUUAUUACCUCCUUCGAUGCAAAUUGGAAGUGGGCCCUUACCGCUUAUUAAUACAAUUGGUAAUAACUCCAGUGGUUCCAGUAAUAUUAGCAGUAAUAACGAAUCUUCCGCGGGCAGAAGAUCUCCGUUGCCUCCUCCUUCAUCAUCAUCUUCGUCAUCAGCGCCCCAAUCUAAUAACUCUAUACCCUCAUCAGCCUUUAGUCGUGCUAGCCCUAGUGUUCAAAAUAGCUCGGGAAGUUUAUCAGGACCAAUACCAUCAUCAAUUGCAAGCCAAAGAACGCAAUCGCCUUCGGCGCAAAACUCGUCUUCUGGUAGUAAUAAUAGUAUGAGUCGUGUAAGUCCUUUACAUCCUGUGCCGCAAAGUCCUUUGGGGCAUCAUCCAUCUGCUACGGCUUUAUCUGCAGCAGCCGCUGCUGUAGCCGAAAGGGAUCGACAGGCUUUACUUCGUCAACAAUCUCCACAUAUGACACCACCACCGGUUUCAACACCUUCAUCAAUGAUGCCAAGUCCGUUAAACAAAUUAUAUGGUGCUCCACCUUCACAAUCAUCAUCUUCUCAAAGUCAAAGAGCUAUAGCUUCUGGAACUUCGCCACCGCCACACCAUCUGAGACCUGGUGCCUCUCCACCUGUUAUUCGCCACCCACAAAUACCUCUACCUUUACCAUUAAUUGGACCAGGUCCCGCUCCUGGGAUUCCUCCAAUGGGUGUUCACCCGCAAAGUCCUUACCCACAUCAUUUAUUUCAUCCAUCAAUGUUAUAUCCCCAUCAUCAUAACCCUUUUAAUUCUCCAUACCCAUAUCAUCCUUAUGGACCUGCAGCCGGUUUUGCAGCUGCUUAUAUGAAGCCACCUCAGGCGGGAGGUCCUCUAGAUCCAGCGGUAAUGCAACAUCAUCAAGCGUUGGCUGCAGCUGCCGUUGGUAGAGAAGAAGCAGCUGUAGUAGCUGCAGCUGCCGCGCAAGCAGAUAAAAUUCGAGCAGAAAAUGCGCAUGCUCAAGCUGCCGCUGUUGCAGCGGCCCAACAUCAACAACAUCAACAACAACAGCAGCAGCAACAGCAACAGCAGCAACAACAACAGCAGCAACAGCAACAACAGCAGCAACAGCAACAACAACAGCAGCAGCAACAACAACAACAACAGCAACAGCAGCAGCAGCAACAACAGCAACAGCAGCAUCAUCAUCAACAACAACAACACAAAAUUAAGCCGCCAACUCCAAAAACUCCACAAGGUGCAGGUAGUGGUAGUAAUAGUUCAACACCAACUGCUGGUCCAUCUCCGUAUCAACCACAUCCAUAUCCCUCACCACAUCAUCCUGUUUUUCAAGAUAGUUUGUCCAGUAAACCGCUUACUAGUCAUAUGGAAGCUUUAAGAGCACAUGCAACAUCGGCUAGUUUAUCAAGUCACCAUCCAUCAGAACCAUUGCCUAUUGAAAUUGAACCAGAUCCAGAACCUGAAAUACCAAGUCCGACGCACAAUAUACCACGAGGACCUAGUCCAGAGGCUAAACCAGAUGACACAGAAUGCCAUCGUUCUCAAUCUGCAAUAUUUGUACGACAUAUUGAUCGGGGUGAUUACAAUUCUUGUACAAGAACUGAUUUAAUUUUCAAACCAGUUGCCGAUUCUAAAUUAGCUCGCAAAAGAGAAGAAAGAGAUCGUAAAUUAGCUGAAAAAGAAAGAGAAAGACGACAGCAACAACAACAGCAACAAUUGCAACAACAAGCACAAGCGCAACAGGCAGCGCAACAAGCUAAAAUGAAAGCUGAAAUAAAACCUCCAUAUACCGAUACACCGGCAUUAAGGCAAUUAUCUGAAUAUGCCAGACCCCAUGUGGCGUUUAGCCCUGUUGAAUCGAUGGUAGCACCUUAUCAUCACCCAAUGGGGCCGAUGUAUAAUAGAGAGAGGGAGCUUGAAGAAUUAAAGAAUGCACAAGCAGCAGCAGCCGUGGGACAGUCUCGUUUAGAUCCCCAUUGGAUGGAAUAUUAUCGAAUGAGGGGCAUACAUCCAUCACAAUUUCCAUUGUAUCCAAAUCCAGCCGCUUUAUCGCAAUUAGAGCGUGAACGUUUGGGUAUUCCACCACAUUUAAUGGACCCCGGUGAUCCAAUGAUACGAUUGACUACUGCUGGAGAAUUUCAUGCACAUUCUCACACUCAUUUACAUUUGCCUUCACAGCAACCACCGGAAGCCGGAUUUCAGCUACCACCGAAUAUUCCGCCAUAUCCGAGACCGAAUAUGCUUAUACCGAGGGAGCCACAUUCUGAUGUUUUAUUGAGAAUGUCUUAUGCUGAUCAAUUACAGUAUUUACAGGCGGCUGAAUUCCAAAGGCAAUCAUCGUUGCAUGAUCAAUACUUCAGACAACGGCCCAGAUAAACUGAAUCAAAAUAAAGGAAUUGAAAUUUUUAAAAAUAAUGGAACCUUUUAUCCCUCAUUGCAAUAUAUAUAAUAUAUAUAAUAAAAUGCGUAUAAGUUGAAGAGUUUCCAACUUUAUAAAAUUAUAUACAGAAAAAUACAAAAUAGUUGAAUUUAUUUAUACAAAUAUUAUUAUAUAAUAAUUGAAAGCUUCUAUAUAUAAGAAAAAAGUUUGGAAAUUCUUUAAAAAAAAAAAAAGUAACCAAGUAAAAUAAACAAAAAACAAAAUUGUUAUUAAUUUUUAGUUAAGCAAAAAUUAAAAUAAUAAUAAUAGUUAAUAUUAUCAUACAAUAAAACUAUAAAAAUUAUUUAUUUUAAAAUAUUAUGAAAAUUCUUAUUUAAAAAUGAAAUUAUCGCUGCCUUCAUACAUAAAAUAAUAUAACAGAUGAAUAAAAAAGAGAUUUUUUUUUCAUUUACUUAAUUUAAAAAUAAUUAAAAAAAAAAUAAAAACUUUUUUUAUUAAAAUCAAUCAAAUAAAAACUUAUUUGUCAACAUUUAAUUUAUUAUUAAUAAAUUAAUUAAGACACAAUGAAUCAAAAACAUUAAAGAAAAAAAUAAGAAAAAUAAAAUAUAAAUAAAAUUAUAAAAGAAGUUAAAAAUAAAUCGAAAAAAAUCACACUGUCCAUAAUUUUUUUUUUUUUUAUUUUCAAAUGUGAAGAAAAAAACGCACAAAUUUAAUUUUAAAAUGACAAAAUGAAAUAAAAUAAAAAACAUUUACCAAAUUUUUAUUUUUCUUUAAAAAUUUGCAAAAUACAAAACAAACUUUUGCUAUGUGAAAAAAAAAUUAAAAAACAAUAACAUUUUUAAUUUAUUUUUUGUUUUUAUCUUUGAUUAUUGAAACGGACGAGGGCCGAACAACCAGCUGAAAAACUUGUAUAAAUUAAAUAUAAUUAAAAGAAUACUUUUUUUAAAAAUAAAUAAAGAAAUUAUUAAAAAAAAAAUAUGUU
RNA transcript from Condylostylus longicornis, 7243 nucleotides. It is a transcript of the gene named arginine-glutamic acid dipeptide repeats protein, with no coding region annotated. The record is from RefSeq and is a predicted model, not a curated record. The transcript has 19 exons. NCBI's taxonomy places the organism in Eukaryota, Metazoa, Arthropoda, Insecta, Diptera, Dolichopodidae.